RNAcentral lists this ribosomal RNA (253 nucleotides) under uncultured bacterium. RNAcentral's name for it is "partial 16S ribosomal RNA". It matches the Rfam family "Bacterial small subunit ribosomal RNA", at positions 524 to 776 of the family's 1533-position model. The record is from RNAcentral.
UACAGAGGGGGCAAGCGUUAUCCGGAUUCACUGGGUUUAAAGGGUGCGUAGGCGGACAGGUAAGUCAGUGGUGAAAUCUCUGGGCUUAACCCAGAAACUGCCGUUGAUACUAUUUGUCUUGAAUAUCCUGGAGGUAGGCGGAAUAUGUCAUGUAGCGGUGAAAUGCUUAGAUAUGACAUAGAACACCGAUAGCGAAGGCAGCUUACUACAGGAUGAUUGACGCUGAGGCACGAAAGCGUGGGGAGCAAACAGG